CAGGCCUUGACUUCAGCCCCAGUGCCACUGCUGCCACUGAGAAAUGCUGCCUCAAGCCCCACACUGCUGGCCUUCACUGCCUCACACUGUUUCCCAAGUUGCGCAUCCCUCAUACCUUCUGCAAUCCACGUUCCAUUCCGUCCCCAAGCCGCACCUCUCAUUCCUUCCCCAAGCCAAAGUCCUGUUCCUUCCCCAAGGCGCAUGUCCCAUACCUUCUGCAAGCUGGCGUCCCAUUCUUGUGAUCCUUCAGAAAUCUUCUGGUCUUCCCGAAGUCUUGCGAGAAUCAGACACCGGUUUGCAGAAGGAACAAGAGGAACUAGCUUGGGGAAGGAAUGGGACGCCGGCUUGCAAAAGAUAUGGGACACGCGGCUUGGGGAAGGAAUGAGAGGGGUGGUGGAAUGGAAUUUUCCAAGUUGCAAUGCAGAGGGAAUUGAGAUCAGCAUGGAAGACUUGUCCCUGAUGGAUGGAGAAGAACUGGAGAUGGACCGAAUGGCAGCCUUGGAUGCUGAACUGGUUGGCAUAUCAAAGUCUACAUCCACGUAGCGGACAAAACGAGAAGGCACUU
Molecule: non-coding RNA, 565 nt
Organism: Python bivittatus (Burmese python)
Lineage: Eukaryota; Metazoa; Chordata; Lepidosauria; Squamata; Pythonidae
Source: RefSeq, a predicted model, not a curated record